UACGUAGGGGGCUAGCGUUGUCCGGAAUCAUUGGGCGUAAAGAGCUUGUAGGCGGUUUGUCGCGUCUGCUGUGAAAAUCCGGGGCUCAACCCCGGACUUGCAGUGGGUACGGGCAGACUGGAGUGUGGUAGGGGAGACUGGAAUUCCUGGUGUAGCGGUGGAAUGCGCAGAUAUCAGGAGGAACACCGAUGGCGAAGGCAGGUCUCUGGGCCACUACUGACGCUGAGAAGCGAAAGCAUGGGGAGCGAACAGG
This 253-nucleotide ribosomal RNA is filed under the name uncultured bacterium. Its description in RNAcentral is "partial 16S ribosomal RNA". It matches the Rfam family "Bacterial small subunit ribosomal RNA", at positions 524 to 776 of the family's 1533-position model. The record is from RNAcentral.